UCCAGCUCUGCUCUCCCAGUGAUCACUGGAUGUCCACAGUGGGAAGUCGUCAGCUCCUGGUGGGUGGUGGUGAUGACAUAGGUUGAAGUAACCCCGCAGAACCAGCACUUUGGUGGAGGAAGAAACAUCCUGAAAAAAAAGGAGAUUGGAGUUUUUUUUCUCCUUCUCUGAAGUAACUACAAUGUCCCCCCUGCCUUGUUCUGAGAGUGUCCUGAAACCCAAUGAAUAACACCCAGAUAUUUUCAACACACCAAGCCACAGGAGAACUGCCUUGUGUGAGGUCUAUCAAGCUUCCAGUCUGAAGCCAUGGGGCCCCCCUGCGGUGUCCCUGUAUGCCCUCUUCUCACUAAGUGAAACCACAUCACAUCCGUGACAUGACGCAUUCAUUUGAAGACAUUAUAUGUGAAUUUUAACUAAAUGAACAACUGGUUUGUAAUAUACAACUAUUUGAUCUUCUAUGUGUAAAUGUGUGUUAAGUGUGAGGGCAACUUUAGUAAAGAGAGCAAAUAAAGGGGUCAAGAUGGCACAGCAAGGAACUUUAUAGCCCAGAGCCGUAAAGUAAACA
Molecule: long non-coding RNA, 565 nt
Organism: Larimichthys crocea (large yellow croaker)
Lineage: Eukaryota; Metazoa; Chordata; Actinopteri; Sciaenidae
Exons: 3
Source: RefSeq, a predicted model, not a curated record